This is a non-coding RNA of Pimephales promelas (fathead minnow), 119 nucleotides long. Lineage: Eukaryota; Metazoa; Chordata; Actinopteri; Cypriniformes; Leuciscidae. The record is from RefSeq and is a predicted model, not a curated record.
AUUGAACGCGCUGGGGAGAGGUGAAAGCAAUGAGAUGCCCUCAUGGGAUUUUUGUCAUCUUUGUGAUGUUGAACUUCAGAUGCUGCGAAAUCCAUGCUGAACGUGACUGAAUAAACCCC